RNAcentral lists this ribosomal RNA (496 nucleotides) under uncultured bacterium. RNAcentral's name for it is "partial 16S ribosomal RNA". It matches the Rfam family "Bacterial small subunit ribosomal RNA", at positions 28 to 523 of the family's 1533-position model. The record is from RNAcentral.
GAUGAACGCUGGCGGCGUGCCUAACACAUGCAAGUCGAGCGAGAAAUUUAUUGAACAAGUUUUCGGAUGAGUAAUAUAAAUGGAAAGCGGCGGACGGGUGAGUAACGCGUAGGCAACCUGCCCCAUACAGAGGGAUAGCCUCGAGAAAUCGGGAUUAAAACCUCAUACUGCCAGAGAAUCACAUGGUUUUUUGGUGAAAGAUUUAUCGGUAUGGGAUGGGCCUGCGUCUGAUUAGCUAGUUGGUGAGGUAACGGCUCACCAAGGCCGCGAUCAGUAGCAGAACUGAGAGGUUCAUCUGCCACAUUGGAACUGAGACACGGUCCAAACUCCUACGGGAGGCAGCAGUGAGGAAUAUUGCACAAUGGGGGAAACCCUGAUGCAGCGACGCCGCGUGAGCGAAGAAGUAUUUCGGUAUGUAAAGCUCUAUCAGCAGGGAAGAUAAUGACGGUACCUGACUAAGAAGCCCCGGCUAACUACGUGCCAGCCGCCGCAGUAA